RNAcentral lists this long non-coding RNA (2058 nucleotides) under Helianthus annuus (common sunflower). Lineage: Eukaryota; Viridiplantae; Streptophyta; Magnoliopsida; Asterales; Asteraceae. The record is from RNAcentral.
UAUAAACUGAGUUCACUAAUCAAAAAUUCAAAAUUUGUGCUUCACUUUCAAAAUUCAAUCCAUUUCUCUCUCAACUCUCUCUCUAACUCACUUUCUCUCUCUCAAAUCCAGACCAAACCACCGUAUCGUGUUCUUAAUUAUUCAGUUCAUAUGUGUUGAUUAUUAGUUUAUUACCGUAUCCAGACCAAACCACCGUAUCCAGACAAAACCACCGUUGGAUUCACCUAAGAAUUUAACAAGGAUUGGAUACAGUCCUGAACUAGGGAGAAAGAGAGAGAAACGAGAUCUACAGACGGUGAAAUAGAGAAAAAAACGCAAAUGAGAGAGAGGGAAGAGUAACCGCAGCAAGCAAUGGCCAGGCGAUGACAGCUAGCUCAGCCAAAAGAAACGAAAGAGCCGAACGAGUCAAAGCAGAGGACCAAAGAGCCACUAAACUUGGAUGUAACUCCUUACACCGAUAAGAUCAUCGCUGAAUACAUCUGGUUGACUUACUAAGAGGUCAGCUGCGAAGAGUAAGAGAAAGAUAUAGUAAACCCCUAAAUUCAACAUCGGAUGAAGAAGAUCUUCAUCUUGCAGAGACCAAUACUAACAUCAAUGACCAAGAAGCUGAAACAAAGGUGGAAGCUGUGUCGAAAGAGAAUCUUUCGGAAGGGUGUAAUCAAAAUGAAACGGUGUAUCGGUUGGAAACUUCAAAGAAUUCAUCUGAAAAAUUAGUUCAUCAGCAAAAGCAUAUCUGCAAAAUCAGUUUUUACUCGCUGCGAAAUCAGUCCGUUCACGGAAAGGUGUUUACUUGUAGAAUUUGACUCAUUUGCAGUUCCGUUCAACGGCAGAAAUUAGUCGUUGUUGUUAUUAUUUGUUGCAGUUGCAAAUCAAUCUUUGUUCAGUCAUUAUAAUCAGUCGUAAAAUAUGUUCGAGGUUCGUGUUCAUUUUAGAAUCAGUGUAAAUCACAGACGUUAUUCGCUGAUCAAAAGCAGAUCUGUUGUUGUUCAGUCCAUACGUAGAAUCGUUGUCCUUCACUGAAAUCAGCCGCCGUAGAAAUCGUUGAUUGCAGAUCUGUUGUUGUUGUUCAUUCCAUACGCAGAAUCGUUGUCCUUCACUGUUAUCAGUUGAAGAAACAGUCCGCAGAAUUAGUCCGUUUAAUCACCUGCAGAAUCGAAGGAAUUUGAAGAAAUCGAAACAUUAUUGUUCAGUCCGCGGAAUUUUGUUCCAUUCGCUGAAACAAAGAGUUUUGUCUGCAGAAUUAGAUCAUUUCGUAAACUGCAGAAUUUGGUUCGGUUCAUUCACUGAUUUUUGUGCAUUCGCGCAGAGUUUAAAUCUCAUUCACUGUUUUGAAGUUCAUCAGCUUAGCAGAAUUCACUGAAAGAAGUAUCAUUCAUUCACAUAAUUGUUUGUUUCAAAGUUUAUUUGCGCAGAAUUCACGGAAAUUGAUUGAAAUCAGAUUCAUUCGUUGCUGCAAAAGUGUUCGUUCGUACACUUAGUCAUCCACAGAAUCUGUUUGACUUCGUCCAACCGCUGAAAAUAGUAUUCGCAAAAUCCAUUCGUCGCAAAAUCAACUUGUAGUCCAUCGGCUCGACAACUUGAAUCUGAUUCCGCAUGAAUUUGAAUUGUUAUUGAGUUGUCGAAACUAGAAAUGAAAUCUGUAGUGUUAGUAUACAGUUCCGAGAUAGAAGCUAGAACGGAUCCACGUUUGGAUAUAAAUCGGCAAGUUGUUUCGGAUCCACAUACGAAUGUAGACUGAAAGAUGUUGAAGAAACAUGGGUUAUAAUAAAAUCACAAAACAUCAUGAAUGAUGAAGAUUACAUAACACAUGAGUUAAAUGCCAAAGAAAGUGUAGUGCUUGAAAUGUUAUAAUCCAUUCACAGUACCUAAUUACUCUUAAAUACGAUAACUUUUUAAGCUUUUUUUUGUUGUUUUCCUUUUAAUCAAUCAAUUAUCAGUUCCCGGUUGCAGAUGGUGGUUGAGGGAGGUUCCGACAAACCGAGGUAUAUCGGGCGAGGUUGAUGAAUAAACAAUUCAAAAAUAUGAGAAAGAAGCCAAGGAUAAGAGUAGAGAGAGCUG